UUUGAGUUAAGGAUUGCAAUAAAAAUCCUUUUGCUUUUUCUGCAAAAGAUUGAAAUGGAAAGCCUGCCCACGC
This 73-nucleotide small RNA is filed under the name Maribacter ulvicola. RNAcentral describes it as "Flavo-1 RNA". It matches the Rfam family "Flavo-1 RNA". The record is from RNAcentral. Lineage: Bacteria; Pseudomonadati; Bacteroidota; Flavobacteriia; Flavobacteriales; Flavobacteriaceae.